This is a long non-coding RNA of Myotis lucifugus (little brown bat), 920 nucleotides long. RefSeq lists it as uncharacterized. The transcript is spliced from 3 exons. The record is from RefSeq and is a predicted model, not a curated record. NCBI's taxonomy places the organism in Eukaryota, Metazoa, Chordata, Mammalia, Chiroptera, Vespertilionidae.
AUCAAUGAAAAUGUCCCUAGGUGAAGAUUUUUUAAAAAGAACUUUAGGAAGCCAUUGUUAUAGCUUCAGAGACUUCUACAUGUCAAGAAAGCUAAAGAAGAGGUCAGGCUUUCUCAAGAGCUAAUGCAGAGUAACAUGAGAUCAAGUAGCUCUGAUACUUACUAGGUAUAAUUCUGGACAAGUAUUUUUGCUAUGUACGCACCCUGACUGGGGAUCAAACCCACAACUACUGUAUGAGCCCUGGCCGGGAAUUGAACCCGGGACCCUCCAGUGCACAGGACAACGCUCCAACCAACUGCCAGGACUCAACAUAAUACUUCUAUUAUUUCUUAAUCAGUUGGCCCUUGAAUAACAUGGGGAUUAGGGGCAUCACCCCCCAGUGCAGUUGAAAAUCCACAUUACUUUCGACUGAAAGUCUUAUCAAUGACUUAAAUAGUCAAAUAAGACAUAUUUAGUAUGUUAUAUAUAAUAUUUAAUAUACUCUUACAAUAAGAGAAAAGUUGAGAAAGCAUGUACAUAUAUUUUAUGUAUUCAUGACAUACCUAACUUUUUCAAAAAAUUUUUUCAAUAUUUCUAGGCUAUGUGAUUCACCUGCAAAUUUCCCAUAUUGUUCAAGGAUCAACUCUAUACCUCCUGGACAGAUUUUCCUGUGGUGUUUGCUGAGAUGAGUCAAGAAGACUGAUGAACGUGGCCUUCCGCUCAACUCAGAGACUUCACAUCAGUACCCUCAGUACAGUAAUCUCAAAGCUUUUAUUAAGCUGAUGGAUCUUCACAGCAGCGUAUCUUUGUUCAUAAAGGUCAAAAGCCUAGGAUUCAAGUCACAAGAGUUAGGACCAAAGACCAACUGAAUAGCUGUAAGAGGUUAAAAAAAAAUUUGGUGAUGAUUUUCUCAUAAUAUGGAAUUAGAAUAUACACUACAA